GUGUUGUCACUUCAGCAACACAUAUACUAACAUUGCAAUGAUACAGAGAAGAUAAGCAUGUACAAGAAUGAAACACAACUUUUUGAAGCAUUUCAUACAUUC
Arvicanthis niloticus (Nile rat) is the source of this 102-nucleotide small nuclear RNA. The record is from RefSeq and is a predicted model, not a curated record. NCBI's taxonomy places the organism in Eukaryota, Metazoa, Chordata, Mammalia, Rodentia, Muridae.